This is a long non-coding RNA of Microcebus murinus (gray mouse lemur), 974 nucleotides long. RefSeq lists it as uncharacterized. The record is from RefSeq and is a predicted model, not a curated record. Lineage: Eukaryota; Metazoa; Chordata; Mammalia; Primates; Cheirogaleidae.
CUGUGGCGCCGGGUACGCGCCGCGCGCGCCCCACGCCGCCCCGCCCCCACAGCCGGGCUUUGGGGCGGGGGCGUCGCGCUGGGGGCCCAUUUUCUAGGGGUCUUGCCGUGUCCUAGUCUCCGUCAUCGUCCCUGUCGCCCUCACUAGGGUACCUGAACCCCGCGGGACCACCUCACCGGGUGGCUUGAGGCUACAAAGGCCCUCAGGAGGUACCCAGGAGUGGAAUUUCUACCUCCUAUGGUCCGUCUGUGUUUAGCUUCUUGAGGAAUUGCCAAGCCAUAAUACACUUUAAAGACAGGGAAAAAAAUCUACGUUACCAAACAAAGAUGUUCAGACCUUCAGGAAGGAUGAUUGCUCAGUUUUAUAAAAAUAAAUAUGUAACUAAUAAUAAAAUUAACAGUUACGAAAACAAAUGCCAGAGGGAAGAAAAAAACCACCAAACUAUUUCACAGUGGCUGUUUCUGCUUGACCACACAUGCCCACAGAAUUUGACUUUGAUGACGAGCCAAUGGCACCAAAGGACUCCCUGAUUGACCGGAGACGUACCCCAGGAAGCUCAGCCCGGAGCCAGAAACGAGAGGCCCGUCUGGACAAGGUCCUUUCAGACAUGAAGCGACAUAAGAAGCUGGAGGAACAGAUCCUUCGUACUGGGGGGACCUCUUCAGCCUAGACUCAGAGGACCCCAACUCCACCAGCCCCCAACUCCGGUCCUCCGGGAGUAGUCUCUUUCCCCGGCAGCGGAAAUACUGACUGCUACUGCUGCCUCUAGGUGUACUGUUUGUACCUGCUGGGGCCUGGGCCCUCCUUUCCUAACACAGAAUGCUGGGAAACUUGGGAAGAAGAGAGAAACCCCAAGUUCCUGGCACAGCACCACGUGGGAAAGAGGGAGUGUGUGUGUGUGUGUUUUCUGUUGAACUUCUAAUCAGAGACCUGGACUGAGUUUUCUGAGUCUAAAAUAAAAGAUGCAGAGUUAU